RNAcentral lists this ribosomal RNA (489 nucleotides) under uncultured bacterium. RNAcentral describes it as "partial 16S ribosomal RNA". It matches the Rfam family "Bacterial small subunit ribosomal RNA", at positions 28 to 507 of the family's 1533-position model. The record is from RNAcentral.
GAUGAACGCUAGCUACAGGCUUAACACAUGCAAGUCGAGGGGCAGCAUGAACUUAGCUUGCUAAGUUUGAUGGCGACCGGCGCACGGGUGAGUAACACGUAUCCAACCUGCCGAUGACUCGGGGAUAGCCUUUCGAAAGAAAGAUUAAUACCCGAUGGCAUAGUUCUUCCGCAUGGUAGAACUAUUAAAGAAUUUCGGUCAUCGAUGGGGAUGCGUUCCAUUAGGUUGUUGGCGGGGUAACGGCCCACCAAGCCUUCGAUGGAUAGGGGUUCUGAGAGGAAGGUCCCCCACAGUGGGACUGGGACACGGUCCAAACUCCUACGGGAGGCAGCAGUGAGGAAUACUGGUCAAUGGACGAGAGUCUGAACCAGCCAAGUAGCGUGAAGGAUGACUGCCCUAUGGGUUGUAAACUUCUUUUAUACGGGAAUAAAGUGAGGCACGUGUGCCUUUUUGUAUGUACCGUAUGAAUAAGGAUCGGCUAACUCCGUG